GAUCCUGGCUCAGAUUGAACGCUGGCGGCAGGCCUAACACAUGCAAGUCGAACGGUAACAGAAAGCAGCUUGCUGCUUUGCUGACGAGUGGCGGACGGGUGAGUAAUGUCUGGGAAACUGCCCGAUGGAGGGGGAUAACGUACUGGAAACGGUAGCUAAUACCGCAUAACGUCGCAAGACCAAAGAGGGGACCUCGGGCCUCUGUCCAUCGGAUGUGCCGACGAUGGGAUUAGCUAGUAGGUGGGG
This 246-nucleotide ribosomal RNA is filed under the name uncultured bacterium. RNAcentral describes it as "partial 16S ribosomal RNA". It matches the Rfam family "Bacterial small subunit ribosomal RNA", at positions 15 to 257 of the family's 1533-position model. The record is from RNAcentral.